GAUGAACGCUAGCUACAGGCUUAACACAUGCAAGUCGAGGGGCAGCAUGAAAGGAACUUCGGUUCUUUUUGAUGGCGACCGGCGCACGGGUGCGUAACGCGUAUCGAACCUGCCUCAUACUCGGGGAUAGCCUUGCGAAAGUAAGAUUAAUACCCGGCGGUCUCGGAUGGCCGCAUGACUAUCCGAGUGAAGAUUUAUCGGUAUGAGAUGGCGAUGCGUCCCAUUAGCUUGUUGGUGAGGUAACGGCUCACCAAGGCAUCGAUGGGUAGGGGUUCUGAGAGGAAGGUCCCCCACAUUGGAACUGAGACACGGUCCAA
This 317-nucleotide ribosomal RNA is filed under the name uncultured bacterium. Its description in RNAcentral is "bacterial SSU rRNA". It matches the Rfam family "Bacterial small subunit ribosomal RNA", at positions 28 to 334 of the family's 1533-position model. The record is from RNAcentral.